CCUACGGGAGGCAGCAGUAGGGAAUAUUGCUCAAUGGGGGAAACCCUGAAGCAGCAACGCCGCGUGGAGGAUGAAGGUUUUCGGAUUGUAAACUCCUUUUGUUAGAGAAGAUAAUGACGGUAUCUAACGAAUAAGCACCGGCUAACUCCGUGCCAGCAGCCGCGGUAAUACGGAGGGUGCAAGCGUUACUCGGAAUCACUGGGCGUAAAGAGCGCGUAGGCGGGAUAGCAAGUCAGAGGUGAAAUCCUAUGGCUUAACCAUAGAACUGCAUUUGAAACUGUUAUUCUAGAGUAUGGGAGAGGUAGGUGGAAUGCUUGGUGUAGGGGUAAAAUGCGUAGAGAUCAAGAGGAAUACUCAUUGCGAAGGCGACCUGCUAGAACAUAACUGACGCUGAUGCGCGAAAGCGUGGGGAGCAAACAGGAUUAGAUACCCGAGUAGUC
RNAcentral lists this ribosomal RNA (440 nucleotides) under uncultured bacterium. RNAcentral describes it as "partial 16S ribosomal RNA". It matches the Rfam family "Bacterial small subunit ribosomal RNA", at positions 338 to 795 of the family's 1533-position model. The record is from RNAcentral.